This 521-nucleotide ribosomal RNA is filed under the name Diprion cf. pini Sus35. Its description in RNAcentral is "eukaryotic LSU rRNA". It matches the Rfam family "Eukaryotic large subunit ribosomal RNA", at positions 666 to 1138 of the family's 3401-position model. The record is from RNAcentral. Lineage: Eukaryota; Metazoa; Arthropoda; Insecta; Hymenoptera; Diprionidae.
CCAAGGAGUCUAACAUGUGCGCGAGUCAUUGGGACGAGCAAACCUAAAGGCGAAAUGAAAGUAAAGGUCAGCCCAGCGCUGACCGAGGGAGGAUGGGCCGCGUCACGAUGCGGCCCCGCACUCCCGGGGCGUCUCGUUCUCAUCGCGAGAAGAGGCGCACCCAGAGCGUACACGUUGGGACCCGAAAGAUGGUGAACUAUGCCUGGUCAGGACGAAGUCAGGGGAAACCCUGAUGGAGGUCCGUAGCGAUUCUGACGUGCAAAUCGAUCGUCGGAACUGGGUAUAGGGGCGAAAGACUAAUCGAACCAUCUAGUAGCUGGUUCCCUCCGAAGUUUCCCUCAGGAUAGCUGGCACUCGCGUACAAAACGUACACGAGUCUCAUCCGGUAAAGCGAAUGAUUAGAGGCCUUGGGGCCGAAACGACCUCAACCUAUUCUCAAACUUUAAAUGGGUGAGAUCUCUGGCUUGCUUGAACUAUGAAGCCACGAGAUCUCGGAUCAGAGUGCCAAGUGGGCCACUUUU